Molecule: ribosomal RNA, 539 nt
Filed under: uncultured beta proteobacterium
Lineage: Bacteria; Pseudomonadati; Pseudomonadota; Betaproteobacteria
Description: bacterial SSU rRNA
Rfam family: Bacterial small subunit ribosomal RNA
Source: RNAcentral
CUACGGGAGGCAGCAGUGGGGAAUUUUGGACAAUGGGCGCAAGCCUGAUCCAGCAAUGCCGCGUGCAGGAAGAAGGCCUUCGGGUUGUAAACUGCUUUUGUACGGAACGAAACGGUCCUGGUUAAUACCUGGGGAUAAUGACGGUACCGUAAGAAUAAGCACCGGCUAACUACGUGCCAGCAGCCGCGGUAAUACGUAGGGUGCGAGCGUUAAUCGGAAUUACUGGGCGUAAAGCGUGCGCAGGCGGUGCUGUAAGACAGGCGUGAAAUCCCCGGGCUCAACCUGGGAAUUGCGCUUGUGACUGCAGUGCUGGAGUACGGCAGAGGGGGAUGGAAUUCCGCGUGUAGCAGUGAAAUGCGUAGAUAUGCGGAGGAACACCGAUGGCGAAGGCAGUCCCCUGGGCCUGUACUGACGCUCAUGCACGAAAGCGUGGGGAGCAAACAGGAUUAGAUACCCUGGUAGUCCACGCCCUAAACGAUGUCAACUGGUUGUUGGGAAUUUACUUUCUCAGUAACGAAGCUAACGCGUAAAGUUGACCG